CCCUUUGCUUGAGGAGCAAGAUUUGUAAGCAUAAUUUAUUUUUCAGAAUGAUUACAAAUCCUUUUACGAGAAUGAAUAUUCUGCUGUGAAUCAAAAAUACACUUGCAGUUUUUUAAUCUGCGCGUUCUGUUACUGUUGACACGCUAAAGAGAUUUGUAAAUUUGAAGAAAGAGAUUUCGCAAGCUCUGGGGACAGGACCUUUUACUCCUGACCAAUCAGUUCCCUUUGCCAAAACCACAGCCGCCUAACCAAUCUCAGGAAAUAGCUACCCACUUGAACAAGAGAGUAAAUAAAACAAAAAUGAUCUAUUCGAAGGUGGAGCGGGAGUAAGACCACUAGAAAGCAGCAUGCUGCCAGACCACCACAGGACCCUAGAGGCCUCAGCCUGCUGUGACAAGGGCCCGGAUGGUGACAUAUGCUUCAAGCUGCCUGACAAUACAGGGGCCUUCAGCAGUACCUUCCCUUUGAUUACAGCAAGAGUCUCCUUAUUAAGUCUUAUAGCCAUUUAACAUGUACUUUAUGUAACCACUCAAAUUCUUACAAACUUAUACGAAUACAUGAACAGACUUAUAUUCACUUGCCUCUGGCUGUGUUUACAGGCAGCCCAAUUCUGAUAUUUUUUCCACUAAUUGGUCUUUUGACCAAUCACAGAUCUUUUCACAUUGGUUCAUUUUUCAGAGCUGAUUGAUCAAAAGACCAAUUGGUGGGAGAAAAAAGUGUCAGACUUGGGCUGCCUGUAAACACAGCCUAUUUGUCCUAUUCGUCAGGCUUGUCUGGGAUAUCUAUAUUUUAGUUGGCACACCUGUGUGAUAUAUUUUAUAUAUGAAUAAUACUUUUUUCAGACUUGCAUUGAUUUUUAGACCUCUUUGAAUCAGAAGUGCAGUCUUGAUGGAUAAAGUCUGCAUGUUGUCAGAUGUUUAAGUAGUAGUUUGUAGUAUAGUAGUUCGUCAAAAUGAGAAGACCAGGCUGAAACAGUUGUGGUUUUGUAUUUUUUUUAAAUGAACAUGAGUAGUUUAUACAAAACUUGAUUGCAUUUGGUGGUCAUCCCUCCCCCAAAUUUGACCAUUUUUAAGCCUUGAUAUUUCCCUGAGGAAGGAUGCAACUUUCUGCUGAUACCUACCACCAUGUUGUCAGAGUUCCAUGGCCCAGCAGACUCCCCUGGGGAUGGGAGAUGGACAUCUUUAGUUUUUAUAAAAGUCUGGGAGACUUUUUUUAGAGGGAGGCGAGUGCAUUAGUUUGAGUGAGUACAGUAAGAGAGUUGACAUUGACGAUUGAGGGUUAUAAGGGUGCCUUCCAAUCACACAAAUUAUGCGUAAAAGACGGGGGGGGGGGCUAGACUUGUGUUGUGCUGUCCGUCAGAAAAGUUCCAAAGACUAUCCAUCAACCAAUUACAAACGUAAAACAGCAUUUUACCCCACCAAACAGAUAAGCAUUUCAUGUAUUUAGGUUUGAAGGUAGCCUUACUCUGUGGUUCAAGUUGUAUCUUCAUGUCUGUAACUUCACUCUCACUCCGUCUGACCCCUAAGCCCUCAUGCCUGACCUCCCAUUGGCCCAGGGCCUCUGGCAAAACCCUCUAAUCAGUCUCUCUGACAGGGAGUUACUCCAGGAGUUGACAGGUUUAUGGUGCAUAAGGUAUCGAUGUGUAUGCAUGCAUGACUUACAUGGAGUGCUCCAUGUUCCUGCUGGUUGCAGGGAAAUGGCAUGCCUUGGAGUAUGGUUGUAUCCAUCUCCACCAGGCUCCUGGAAAUCAUAUGACAAACCUGCAUAGAUUAACAAAAUAAAAUGGCAACUGUAUUUAUGCAGUUGAAGUCAUGACAGCCAUAGGUUCUUUACACAGGAGUGUACAGGUUUUUAUUCCAGCACUUCACUAACACCUCAUUCAACUAAUUGUGGUCUAAAUUGAACAAACACUUGUACACAGUUCAGUCCCUUGCCCAGAAAUCACCCACAUCUGUAUUAUUGAAUGAGCUUCCCAAGUUACAAGUUUAGCUACAAUUCUGCAUGAUAUAAAUAGAUCCACCCAGGUUAUUCUCUAUCUAACCAUGUGAAUAAACCCCCUAAACAAGAUGAUUAUCCUGGUGGUUAGGAGGUUCCCAAGUUCUUGACAUAUGUCUGGGUGUUAGGGAUGUGCUUCAACCUGAGGAAAAUGGCAGAGAGGGGGAAGACAUUAACCCCACUGCUUACAUUUCAGUGCGGCUCAUUUCAGUGAGCCACAUGUACCUUAAGUUUUUCAGUCACCAAAUAAUCAAUGAACAGGCAGUGAGGUAGUUUGACAAGUGUUCAAAGUCAGUAACAAGUCUUUAAAAUAUAGCUAGCAUGUUGGCAAGUACCUGGCCAGUAAUCUUCACCUGUCGACGGCAACAGCUUUCACAGGCUCAUCAUAAUGUAAAAAUAACCCCAAUUAUGAAACAUUUUAUUUAAACUGACAUUAUUUGUUGCAUAUAAUGUCCAGGACAUAACCUAGCCUGGUGGAUCCAGCCUGAUCUUUUUUUACCAUUCUAUUUCACUUCACAUUUGAUGAUAUCUGCAGUGAAGUAGAAAGGUGAACGAAGCGAUCCGGUUGGUUCCACCAGGACCAGGCUAUUUAGAACCACCAUUGAUAAUGUAAUCAGUGCUCUGUGUGUGUGUGACCCACCAGUACCUUUGAGGGGCCAGGAGCUGCUCUAUGCUGCUAUGCCCAUCAAUGGAGCUGUAGAAAAGACCUCACCUCCAGCCUCACCUUUUGCCUGCUCACCAACAGUUGUCAAUAGGGAGAACAGAAUAAGAAACAUGUAUGGAGGCAGCACAUGGAGACUUGGAAGAUGAUGUGAAGUCCAGACUGACAGGCGGGCUUGAUACUGAUGUCUCUGAAUGGAGAAAGACCUGGCACUCGGCAGUAACAUUUUACAAGACAACUUUUACCAUUUAAUUCAAUAAAAAAUAAAGGAUCAGACAAGAUGUGGAGGGAGAAACCCUGUGUUAUUCUGCACCAGGAUCAGGGAACUGCUGUUGUGAACAGGACACCACACAGGAAUUAUUAUAUAUUAUAAUAUUAUGUGAAGUGUUGUUUAUUCUACAUGGACCUGUGACUACAUCUGAAAGUUAGCAAAACACUUAGUUCAGAAUAUAUACAUAAAUUUAGCAAUUACAUUCAUCUCAUGUUACUCUUCAGGCUGCUGAUCUAUUCAAAGCUUCUCUAUAUCUGCCUGUAGUUAUUGAGCUCAACCUGCAGGAGGUGUGUUUGUUGUAACUGAGUGGGGGGAAACAGUUGUGGGCAAGGUUCUGACAGAUGGGUGUGUUUUGGUGGUGGCAAGGACAAACAAACACCUGCAUCAAACCACACCCCCAAGCCAACUCAGGUUUGGCUUCUGUCAUGGCCACCAGCAUUUCUUGAGGAGCAAGCCAAAAAACAAGGCCAAAUCAACAGGUGUAAUUCUCCUUUAAAUCAUCACACAAUCAUACAGUUGAUUUUAUUAAAACACUAUGUAUAAAAAAAAUUAUGUAAAAAAUGUCUACCAA
Oncorhynchus kisutch (coho salmon) is the source of this 3498-nucleotide long non-coding RNA. RefSeq lists it as uncharacterized. The transcript has 4 exons. NCBI's taxonomy places the organism in Eukaryota, Metazoa, Chordata, Actinopteri, Salmoniformes, Salmonidae. The record is from RefSeq and is a predicted model, not a curated record.